Molecule: ribosomal RNA, 613 nt
Filed under: uncultured bacterium
Lineage: Bacteria
Description: bacterial SSU rRNA
Rfam family: Bacterial small subunit ribosomal RNA
Source: RNAcentral
CGGACUCUUCGGAGUUAGUGGCGCACGGGUGAGGAACACGUGGGAACAUACCCUUUGGUAGGGAAUAAUGUCUGGAAACGGACACUAAUACCCUAUAAUGACUUCGGUCCAAAGAUUUAUCGCCAAAGGAUUGGCCCGCGCAUGAUUAGAUAGUUGGUGAGGUAAUGGCUCACCAAGUCUACGAUCAUUAGCUGGUCUGAGAGGAUGAUCAGCCACACUGGAACUGAGACACGGUCCAGACUCCUACGGGAGGCAGCAGUGAGGAAUAUUGGACAAUGGGGGCAACCCUGAUCCAGCCAUGCCGCGUGAGUGAAGAAGGCCUUAGGGUUGUAAAGCUCUUUCAAUAGUGAAGAUAAUGACGGUAGCUAUAGAAGAAGCUCCGGCUAAAUUCGUGCCAGCAGCCGCGGUAAUACGAAUGGAGCAAGCGUUGUUCGGAAUCACUGGGCUUAAAGCGUGCGCAGGCGGACUUGAAAGUCGGGAGUGAAAUCCCAGGGCUCAACCCUGGAACUGCUUCCGAAACUCCAAGUCUAGAAUCCGAUAGAGGUUAGGGGAAUUCCUAGUGUAGAGGUGAAAUUCGCAGAUAUUAGGAGGAACACCAGUGGCGUAGGCGCCU